CCUCACCCUCCGCCACGCUCAGGGCGGCGGCUGCCGGCCGCCGGCGGAGGCCCGAGGCGGGGGACGCCCCGCGCCACUGCCGGGCCCCUCCGCACCCGCUGCCCCGCCGCGGGCCCACCCCCGGUACCUGCGAGUCGGCGGGAGGAAGCGGCGCCGUUCCUCCCGCCCGGGCCGGGCCCCGCGCAGGAAGCUCCUGUGUGUAUUUAAUCAUUCAUACUGUCUCAUGUCAUCCCUGAAUUCUCUGGAACUGGAGUUUAUCCUAUGGUGCCUCCGCUAAGCUGGUAUGAAACCUGAAAGCUCACUCUGGAAAAAGUUAUUGAUUACUCAGCCUGCAUUUACCGUGUGCAAAUAUUGUAAAAUGAAUAAAAUGUACCUUGCUUUUCCUGUG
Strigops habroptila (Kakapo) is the source of this 388-nucleotide long non-coding RNA. RefSeq lists it as uncharacterized. The record is from RefSeq and is a predicted model, not a curated record. The transcript is spliced from 2 exons. NCBI's taxonomy places the organism in Eukaryota, Metazoa, Chordata, Aves, Psittaciformes, Psittacidae.